CCAGAACACAGUAAGGAGACCAAGGCCUAGUCCCAGGACAUGUGCACGGGCUUUGGCAGAUAGAGUUACCACAGCAGUUGGAUUCCAGGAGGUCUUGUCCAGGUUGGAGAGCAGUUGCAAACAUAAGACUGCCUGAUUGAAGGGAGGAACCAUCUUAAGUGGGAGAGCCCAGUACAUGCCACAGCCCAGGAAGCACCGUUGAAGACAAGCACCAGACUGAGGACUCACAGUGGGGUCAAUGCAUUCUGAGACUGGAGCUGCAUUCUCAAGAGAGAAAACAAUUCAGAGUUGGCCCAGCCCUGCAGGCUCCUCCUUCACCUUCAGCAAGACUUGGAGACCAAGCAUU
Molecule: long non-coding RNA, 346 nt
Filed under: Mus spicilegus (steppe mouse)
Lineage: Eukaryota; Metazoa; Chordata; Mammalia; Rodentia; Muridae
Description: lncRNA (ENSMSIG00000013196.1)
Source: RNAcentral